GACGAACGCUGGCGGCGUGCUUAACACAUGCAAGUCGAACGGAAAGGCCCUGCUUUUGUGGGGUGCUCGAGUGGCGAACGGGUGAGUAACACGUGAGUACCUGCCCUUUACUUUUGGGUAACCUCCGGAAAACGGGGGUAAUACCGGAUAAGAACUCCUGCUGCAAGGGGGGGGGUGGGAAGGUUCGGCGGUUGGGGAUGGACUCGCGGCUUAUCAGCUUGUUGGUGGGGUAGUGGCUUUCCAAGGCUUUGACGGGUAGCCGGCCUGAGAGGGUGACCGGCCACAUUGGGACUGAGAUACGGCCCAGACUCCUACGGGAGGCAGCAGUGGGGAAUAUUGCACAAUGGGCGGAAGCCUGAUGCAGCAACGCCGCGUGCGGGAUGACGGCCUUCGGGUUGUAAACCGCUUUCGCCUGUGACGAAGCGUGAGUGACGGUAAUGGGUAAAGAAGCACCGGCUAACUACGUG
RNAcentral lists this ribosomal RNA (467 nucleotides) under uncultured bacterium. RNAcentral describes it as "partial 16S ribosomal RNA". It matches the Rfam family "Bacterial small subunit ribosomal RNA", at positions 28 to 507 of the family's 1533-position model. The record is from RNAcentral.